This 425-nucleotide ribosomal RNA is filed under the name uncultured bacterium. RNAcentral describes it as "bacterial SSU rRNA". It matches the Rfam family "Bacterial small subunit ribosomal RNA", at positions 356 to 773 of the family's 1533-position model. The record is from RNAcentral.
GGGGAAUAUUGCACAAUGGGCGCAAGCCUGAUGCAGCCAUGCCGCGUGUAUGAAGAAGGCCUUCGGGUUGUAAAGUACUUUCAGCGAGGAGGAAGGUGCUGAGGUUAAUAACCUCAGCAAUUGACGUUACUCGCAGAAGAAGCACCGGCUAACUCCGUGCCAGCAGCCGCGGUAAUACGGAGGGUGCAAGCGUUAAUCGGAAUUACUGGGCGUAAAGCGCACGCAGGCGGUCUGUCAAGUCGGAUGUGAAAUCCCCGGGCUCAACCUGGGAACUGCAUCCGAAACUGGCAGGCUAGAGUCUUGUAGAGGGGGGUAGAAUUCCAGGUGUAGCGGUGAAAUGCGUAGAGAUCUGGAGGAAUACCGGUGGCGAAGGCGGCCCCCUGGACAAAGACUGACGCUCAGGUGCGAAAGCGUGGGGAGCAAAC